UCUUGUCCUAUAAUCUGCAACGGUAGCUGCUACGUACUAAUUAACAACCUGAUCAAUGCAACACCUACAUCAUCUCCCUUACAGAGUUGCAGUGCCUCACCAUCUUCCUUAUAUAAACUUCCAAAUCAAAACAGAAGAAAUUAAGAACAUAGCACAAAGCAAAGGAGAGAACAUUUGUGACUUCGGAGAAUCCGUCUGAAUAUUUCAACUAGCGCUGUAGAGUCUAUCUGGUGCCAUAGGCUAUGUUCGUUUCUAAAUAUGUGUGUGUAAGGGGCGGGGCUAGUAUAUGUUAGGGGGAUGCCUAGGAACCCGGUCAAAAAAAUUUUUUUUUAGCUAUACCUCAUCUAUUUUCACCAUGUAUACACCCCUCAAUACAAAUUUAGGCACCCGUAUCAGCUUAAAUUUGAUCUAUAGUAGAGUAAAUUAAGUAAGUGGCACCACCCUCUGUUUCGCUCUAGCUCCGCCCCUAUGCGUAAGGAUGGGAAUCAUUGGGAAUCAGUCGUUGCAGCAUCUACCUCAUCUCUCUCCCAGUUUCUCAUCACCAUCUUCAUUAUACAAACAUCCAAAACAGUAGGGUGGAAAGAAGUCAAGAACGCGAGAACGUUUAUGAAUUUUGGAGAAUCCGUCCGAAUUUUGGAGUGAUCGUGAGGAUGGGAAGCAUCAGGGAAAAGAAGCACAGAAAUCUGGAACCUCAUUGCUUAUCAAACAGAGCCGUGAGUGGUGGAAAAUAGACAAAGCAAGGCUCUAUACCCAUCAGGAUUUCGCGUAAAAGAUUGAGAAAUAGCUAGCUGAAUCAUGACAUUUUGUUUCCAACAUUCCUCAGUUCCUCUACGUGUGUGACAAUGGGUGACAAGGGAGAGAAAACAAAUUGGUAGACGAUACGAGAAAAUUAGUAGCAAAGAAUAUCAGCAGGUCGAAGAGAAGCAGAAUUAGGACAGAUCAAAUCUACAUUACAUCCAGUUCUAUCAAACUAUGAAAUGCUUUAUGUAUAAUUCCUCCGGAAAUAAUAAAAUAAGACCACGAUUAUCUGCCAGCUAAUUACCAGUUUUUGGUGGUAUCUGACAGCAAAUUCACGUUCUUGCGGUGUCCAUAUGCUAAUUACAUGUUUUUUGGAUGUCGUUUAACAAAUUUUGCCAAAUCCAUUUUCCCCUCAAGCAAGCCUAAAUGGGUUUUAUGGAUAGUGCUCACUGUUGCCCUAGCCUAUUUUUCUAUUUUUAGUUUCGAUUUCGGUUUGGUUGCAAAAUAUGAUGUUAGCUUCAUUUUUUUACAAACUUUUUUUAAGCAACUAGCACUAGAUAUUAUAUACUACUCAUACGUUGUUUUUCAAAAAAACAUUUUUUUUCUAAAUUGAAUUUGUCCAAAUUAUAUCAAGCUUGGGUACUGCACCGUAAGCUGGUAAUCACCGGUAGAAAAACCCUAAACAGCAUACCCCUUAUUUUUUUGUGAGGGAGUAGCUAGCAUGGGGCUUUUCCAUGUCUUUAUUUUCGUUAUUUCCUCUUAUCCUGACAUUACUUACACCUCUCAUUGCCUCACCGUCUUCUUUAUAUAAACCUCCAAAAUGAAAUAGAAGAAAAAUUGAGGACGAAGCAAACAAGUGAACAUUAAUUUAGGUUCUAUAUCUUUGUGUCCCAUGCGGUUUUCGUUUUUGACCCUCUGUGUGCCUGAGGAUGGGAAGCAUCAGGAGAAAGACACCCAGAACGACCAAGGAGACGGGUGGGACAUCAAUCAGCUGAGCGAGAACCAAAGAGAAUUAACGUCCAGAUUAUGUAGAAUGUCCGAGGCCUCUUCGCGUGCCAGAUCGACAAGAUAGAGUAAAACACCAUUAGCCGAAAGUUCUUAGCACAUUUCUCUAUUUAGAGGAGGUUAUUUGCAAUCUGCGGACGAGAAUUAACAUGCCAAAUCUGGCUUCUAUGCA
Non-coding RNA from Oryza sativa Japonica Group (Japanese rice), 1915 nucleotides. The record is from RefSeq and is a predicted model, not a curated record. NCBI's taxonomy places the organism in Eukaryota, Viridiplantae, Streptophyta, Magnoliopsida, Poales, Poaceae.